UACGGAGGGUGCAAGCGUUAUCCGGAUUCACUGGGUUUAAAGGGUGCGUAGGCGGGCAAUUAAGUCCGUGGUGAUAUACCUGAGCUUAACUUGGGAACUGCCAUGGAUACUAUUUGUCUUGAAUGUCGUGGAGGUUAGCGGAAUAUGUCAUGUAGCGGUGAAAUGCUUAGAUAUGACAUAGAACACCAAUUGCGAAGGCAGCUGGCUACGCAUAUAUUGACGCUGAGGCACGAAAGCGUGGGGAUCAAACAGG
This 253-nucleotide ribosomal RNA is filed under the name uncultured bacterium. Its description in RNAcentral is "partial 16S ribosomal RNA". It matches the Rfam family "Bacterial small subunit ribosomal RNA", at positions 524 to 776 of the family's 1533-position model. The record is from RNAcentral.